RNAcentral lists this ribosomal RNA (492 nucleotides) under uncultured bacterium. RNAcentral's name for it is "partial 16S ribosomal RNA". It matches the Rfam family "Bacterial small subunit ribosomal RNA", at positions 29 to 507 of the family's 1533-position model. The record is from RNAcentral.
AGUGAACGCUGGCGGUAGGCCUAACACAUGCAAGUCGAACGGCAGCACAGUAAGAGCUUGCUCUUACGGGUGGCGAGUGGCGGACGGGUGAGGAAUACAUCGGAAUCUACUUUUUCGUGGGGGAUAACGUAGGGAAACUUACGCUAAUACCGCAUACGACCUACGGGUGGAAGCAGGGGAUCUUCGGACCUUGCGCGAUUGAAUGAGCCGAUGUCGGAUUAGCUAGUUGGCGGGGUAAAGGCCCACCAAGGCGACGAUCCGUAGCUGGUCUGAGAGGAUGAUCAGCCACACUGGAACUGAGACACGGUCCAGACUCCUACGGGAGGCAGCAGUGGGGAAUAUUGGACAAUGGGCGCAAGCCUGAUCCAGCCAUACCGCGUGAGUGAAGAAGGCCUUCGGGUUGUAAAGCUCUUUUGUUGGGAAAGAAAAGCAGCAGGUUAAUAUACCGCUGUUCUGACGGUACCCAAAGAAUAAGCACCGGCUAACUUCGUG